This is a small nucleolar RNA of Syngnathus acus (greater pipefish), 219 nucleotides long. RefSeq annotates it as small nucleolar RNA SNORA73 family. The transcript has a single exon. NCBI's taxonomy places the organism in Eukaryota, Metazoa, Chordata, Actinopteri, Syngnathiformes, Syngnathidae. The record is from RefSeq and is a predicted model, not a curated record.
CCGACGUGGACAUCCGGUGAGUUUCUCUCCCGGCUCUGUCUUGGUGGCGUGCGGGAGCGUAGCCUCGCGCUAAGACGUAUAUUCCCCUUCCACAACGUCGCACAAAAAGUUUCGUCCCCGACUCUGUUCGGCGAGGAUGAACGUCCUGCAUAUUCCUAAAACUUCCCAGAGCCCCUUAGGGGGCUGUUACUGGGGAGCCAAACCAUGCAGUGCACAUUU